CGCUGGCGGCGUGCCUAAUGCAUGCAAGUCGAGCGGGCUACGAUCUUCGGAUUGUAGCUUAGCGGCGAACGGGUGAGUAACACGUAGGUGAUCUACCCUUCAGAGGAGGACAACCUCAGGAAACUGAGGCUAAACCUUCAUACGUUCACUGGUAGGGAUACUGGUGAAGAAAGAGUUACCUUAGUGGUAGCUGCUGAAGGAUGAGCCUGCGGCCCAUCAGGUAGUUGGUGAGGUAACGGCUCACCAAGCCGAAGACGGGUAACCGGUCUGAGAGGAUGUCCGGUCACACUGGGACUGAGACACGGCCCAGA
Molecule: ribosomal RNA, 311 nt
Filed under: uncultured bacterium
Lineage: Bacteria
Description: bacterial SSU rRNA
Rfam family: Bacterial small subunit ribosomal RNA
Source: RNAcentral